CGGCCGGCCUGCCUAUACUGCAGUCGAGCGCGGGAAGCAGACUGAAGUCUUCGGACGGACGUCUGUGGAACGAGCGGCGGAUGGGUGAGUAACACGUGGGUAACCUGCCUGUAAGCUUGGGAUAACUCCGGGAAACCGGUGCUAAUACCGAAUGAUCCUGAUGUUCGCAUGAACGUUAGGUGAAAGGCGGCUUUUGCUGUCACUUACAGAUGGACCCGCGGCGCAUUAGCUAGUUGGUGGGGUAAUGGCUCACCAAAGCGACGAUGCGUAGCCGACCUGAGAGGGUGAUCGGCCACACUGGGACUGAGACACGGCCCAGACUCCUACGGGAGGCAGCAGUAGGGAAUCUUCCGCAAUGGACGAAAGUCUGACGGAGCGACGCCGCGUGAGUGAUGAAGGUCUUCGGAUCGUAAAACUCUGUUGUUAGGGAAGAAUAAGUAUCGACCGAAUAAGUCGGUACCUUGACGGUACCUAACCAGAAAGCCCCGGCUAACUACGUGCCAGCAGCCGCGGUAAUACGUAGGGGGCAAGCGUUGUCCGGAAUUAUUGGGCGUAAAGGGCGCGCAGGCGGUCUUUUAAGUCUGAUGUGAAAUCUCGUAGCUUAACUACGAGCGGUCAUUGGAAACUGGAAGACUUGAGGACAGAAGAGGAGAGUGGAAUUCCACGUGUAGCGGUGAAAUGCGUAGAGAUGUGGAGGAACACCAGUGGCGAAGGCGACUCUCUGGUCUGUAACUGACGCUGAGGCGCGAAAGCGUGGGGAGCGAACAGGAUUAGAUACCCUGGUAGUCCACGC
This 793-nucleotide ribosomal RNA is filed under the name uncultured bacterium. RNAcentral's name for it is "bacterial SSU rRNA". It matches the Rfam family "Bacterial small subunit ribosomal RNA", at positions 36 to 800 of the family's 1533-position model. The record is from RNAcentral.